Long non-coding RNA from Loxodonta africana (African savanna elephant), 5637 nucleotides. RefSeq lists it as uncharacterized. NCBI's taxonomy places the organism in Eukaryota, Metazoa, Chordata, Mammalia, Proboscidea, Elephantidae. The record is from RefSeq and is a predicted model, not a curated record. The transcript is spliced from 2 exons.
CCGGCGCGCGCCAGGAGUGUCGUCACAUGCCGCGUCGGCGCGGGCUGAUGACGCGCAAGGGCAGAGCCACCGCCUGUGCUAGAUCCGAGAACGGUGCCCAGCGCGCCCUGUACGUCACUUUCUGCGACGGCGCGGGAUGGUGACGCCAGGGCUCGGGUGCCGGGGCCGAGCGAUUCCCGCCGGGUUGAGCUCCGCCCCGCUAUCCCGGCAGCUUUCUGCCCCAGAGGCUCGCGGGCCAGGAUCCAGACUUGUGUUCUCUCGGCUGUAGGCCGCGCUUCCGCCCGCGGAGCUCUGUCCCGCCGCGUCGGUGCACAGGGGGACCUCCUGUCUUGUGGCAGCAAGUUGGCUGCUGUGGAAAGACCUCCGAAGCCGCAGCUUAACCGCACAUGUUCAGAUUUAAAAAAAAAGGAAAAGUAUUGCCAUCGAGUGGAUUCCCACUCUUAGCGACCCUACAGGACAGAGUGGAACUACACCAUAGGGUUUCCAAGGAGCCGCUGGUGGAUUUGAACUGCCUAGCAGCUGAACUCUUAACCACUGUGCGACCAGAAAGGAGGAUAAUAAGCCUUGCCUACUAUAGCCGCGCUCUGGCUCUGCGUUACUCAAAAACAGGGCAGGUAGAGCUUUUGCAACGUGAUUUUAAAAUUUACACUGAGGCAGUGUUCCCCAAACUGGCUACUACUCAAAUUCACCCAGAUGGUUUUUAAUGACCUUAACUCCCAAAAAUUUCAGUGCAAGUGCAGCUUGGACUUUUUCCUUCAGUACCAUGGGUUCUGAUCAUAUGCUUCCUCUUGAAAUAGUUGAACAUCCACCAAUUCUUUUUGGUAUAAUGACUCUGUGUAUUCUUUCCAUCUUCUUUUGAUACUUCCUGCGUUAUUUAAUAUUUUCUCCAUAGAACACUGUUUCAUGAAGUAGCAUAUGAUCAGGAACUGAUGGUACUGAAGGAAGAAGUCCAAGCUGCACUGAAGGCAUUGGCGAAAAACAAGGCUCCAGGAAUUUAUGGAGUAUCAACUGACAUGUUUCAACAGAUGGAUGCAGCGCUGGAAGUGCUCACUCACUAUGCCAAGCAAUUUGGAAGAUAGCUACCUGGCCAGCUGACUAGAAGAGAUCCGUAUUUAUGCCUAUUCCCAAUAAAAGUGAUCCAACUGAAUGUGGAAAUUAUCAAACAAUAUUAUUAAUAUCACACACAAGCAAAAUUUUGCUGAAGAUCAUUCAAAAGCAGCUGCAGCAGUAUAUUGAAAAGGAACUGCCAGAAAUUCAGGAAGAUUCAGAAGAGGAUGUGGGUGGAACCAAGGAUAUCGUUGCUGUCGUCAGAUGGAUCCUGGCUGAAAGCAGAGAAUACCAGAAGGAUGUUUGCCUGUGUUUUAUUGACUAUGCAAAGGCAUUCAACUGUGUGGAUCAUAACAAAUUAUGGAUAACAUUUUCAAAAAAUGGGAAUUCCAGAACAGUUAAUUGUGCUCAUGUGGAACCUGUACAUAGAUCAAGAGGCACUUGUUUGAACAGAACAAGGGAAUACUGCGUGUUAGAGUCAGGAAAGGUGUGCAUCAAGAUUGUAUCCUUUCACCAUACCUAUUCAAUCUAUAUGCUGAACAAAUAAUUUGAGAAGCUGGACUAUAUGAAGAACGGCACAUCAGGAUUGGAAGAAGACUCAUUAACAACCUGCUUUAUGCAGCUGACACAAUCUUGCUUGCUGAAAGUGAGGAGGACUUGAAGCACUUACUGAUGAAGAUCAAAGACCAAAGCCUUCAGUAUGGAUUACACCUCAAGAUAAAGAAAACAAAAAUCUUCACAACCGGACCAAUAAACAACAUCAUGACAAAUGGAGAAAAGACUGAGGUUGUCAAGGAUUUCAUUUUACUUGGAUCCACAGUCAACACCCAUGGAAGCAGCAGUCAAGAAGUCAAAAGAUAUAUUGCAUUGGGCAAGUCUGCUGCAAAGGACCUCUUUAAAGUGUUGAAAAGCAAAGAUAAUCACCUUGAAGACUAAGGUUCACCUGACCCAAGCGAUGAUAUUUUCAUUUGCCUCAUAUGCAUGUGAAAGCUGGACAAUGAACAAGGAAGACAGAAGAAGAAUUGAUGCCUUUGAGUUGUGGCAUUGGCGAAGAAUAUUGAAUAUACCAUGGACUGCCAAAAGAAUGAACAAAUCUGUCUCGAAAGAAGUACAACCAGAAUGCUCGUUAGAAGCAAGGAUGGUGAGACUGUGUCUUACAUACUUUGGACAUGUUGUCAGGAGGGAUCAGUCCCUAGAGAAGGACAUUAUGCUUGGUAAAGUACAGGGUCAACGGAAAAGAGGAAGACCCUUAAUGAGAUGGAUUGACCCAGUGGCUGCAACAAUGGGCUCAAGCAUAACAAUUGUAGCAGGAUGCAGGAUGGGCCAGUGUUUCAUUCUGUGGUACAUGGGGUUGCUGUGAGUUGGAACCGACUCGAUGGCACCUAACAACUCCGAAGGCCCCACUUCAAACCUACGGAAUCAGAACCUCCAGGGAAGAAACUGUGGCAGAUGAACAUUCAUCUGUAUCAACCAGUCUGAAAGGGAGAAUGCAGGAGAUUGUGACAAAUUGAACCGGAGACAAAAAGGGCCCGUGGUAGAUGCAGUGGACAUGAACGGCUGCUUAGAAUUUGUUUUUCUCCCAAAAUGAAAUGUUUACUUUGUAUAUUCAGGCUCUGAUUUUGCUUCCUGAGUUCUUGGUAACUUGGGAAAGCUUCCUUUUUUCCUCCAUUCAUGCUGGAAACUGGUCGAAGGUAACAAGAAGCCAACUUGGAUCAAUUAUGUAGCACAAAUGCAUGACGGUUACCCAAUGAAGAAAGCCAAAGACAGACGGACGUAUUUCACAUUUAGUUUACUUUUGCAGAAUGAGAGUCUUAGACAGUUGCUACCAUGGCUGCUUAUUUAGAUAAAAAUAGCAGAAGGUAUCCACAGGAUCAAGGACACAGUAUCCAUUUAUUACCACAACAGAAUUAACAGUGGCUUGCUACAUUACUGAACACAACCACUUUCUAGAAAGCACUAAUGUAGUUAUAUAAACACUGAAGCAGGUGACAUAUAAAACACUAUCAACAUUUCUAUGUGAUGUACUUUGACUUCUCCACAGUUUUGCCUGGUGUGAAGCAAAUAUAAUUUGGCUCUGACGAAGGCAAUUAGUGAUAAAAUCUUCAAGUUUCUCCAAGUGGGAAAAUCACCAGGCUCCAGUUCUCCUCAACGAGAGGAUCUUCGUGCAGGCGCAGACACCUCAGCUCACAGGUUUGCCAAGUCUAGAGAGAGCAAAUCAGCUGCAUGCCACUUUCCCUCCAAUGAAAGCGGAACAAAACAGAGCAAACCAACCAAAAAACAAGACUUUGUCCAUUAGAAGAGUUUCUGAGUUUGGAUGUCAGGGCAAGGACCCAGUGGCAAUGAACUCAGAAUCAGAGCCCCCAGGACAUCCUUCAGCGACUGCACAGUUGAAGGUUUCUACACUCUGAACUCAGUUGAGUGGCAGACCCACAGUCAUCACGACCCCCCAGAUUCCCUCUUGGCUUCUCAGCUAGGACAGAGAGAAAUUGCCAGACUCCUCCUGGAUGUUCUUAUUUAUAAAUUAAAAAAAUGAAGAGGCAAGCAGGGCCGGUAUGUAUUUUCCGAAAGAAAAAAGCCCUUAGUGCAAUGUUGGUCAAAGGCUAAAGGGAAGGAAAUUAUUCCUACAUCUGAGCAUAUCCUUGUUCACUUUUUCCAACCCAGGGAAAAAAUGAAAAUACUUCUGGACCUUAAAAGCACACCAUGUGGAUAGAUUUAAAAAGCUGUGUUAUGCUGCUUCUCCCCCUACUGACCUGUCUAAAUGACCAGGCCAACGAAAGUGUCACAGCAGGAAGCAAAACCCAUUGGUUCUGGGAAAACUAAACGUCAGAUGCAAAGAACAGCUUUAGUUCAUAUUUCUUGUACAGUGCUUUAAUUUUUUCAUUACCGUUUCUGAGAUACCAUGUUUAUCUUUCUCAAAUUACAGAUACAUUUUGGAUUGUGCAAAAGUAGCCUCAGCUUCCCAGGCAGGUUAUUUUAAUGCUGAUAUGCAUGAAAUUACAAUGACAGGAAUUUCCAAGGAAAGCUUUUAAUGCCACUCAGUAGUAGAAAUAUUGUCAAACAUUAGAAAUCUGUACAUCUUGAAGCGUCAAUGUAAGUCAGCGGAUGAUUUGACACAGAAGGUUUGGCUCAAGUGUUUUGUUUCUUUACAGAGGCACAGACAAUAACCACGGAUCCAAGAGUUAACCCAGCAUGAGUGACGACACCCAGUGUCAGUGUUUACACAGGACAUCUCCAACGGUUCAACAAAAAGAACAUACUAUUCUAUAAAAAUCACUAGGCAGAGUAAAUAAUAAACACAUUGUCUCUGUACAGUCAUUAGACAAAUGGCCACACCGGGCUGCAGCCUUCCAGCUCCCAACUCAAGGUACAGGGCUGUUCUGGAAAAGUCUUGAGAAGUGGAUGCCGGAAACUGAUACUAGGGACGUGCAGGACGGACAGGAUUGAGGAGGACAGGGUGCAUGUCGGGAGCAAGAGAGCGUGCUGGCCUGGCAUAGACUCUACUGUCUACUCAGAAGGAGUGGUCUCCAAAGCAGCUUUGCAGGUCUUUGCCCCAUUGCUAACCAUUUAGGAGAAUCCUCCUUUGCUUUCUGGUCCACACAUUUGGAAAACUGAAACAGGCCGCAAGCUGCUGGUGGAGGUGGCAGAGACCAAAAACCAAACCCACUGCUGCUGAGUUGAUUCCGCCACGACUCAUGGCAACCCCGUGUGUUACAGAGUAGAGCUGAGCUCCGUAGGGCUUUCUGGGUUCUAAUAUUUAUGGAAGCAGAUCGCCAGAGCUUUCUUCCUCAGCGCAGCCAGGGGGCGGGGUAUUUGAGCUGCCAACCUUUAGAUUAGUAGUCAAGAGCAAAUUGCAAUGGCAGAGAGGAGGCAGGAAUUCAUACAGGGGACACAGGACUUGGAAUCUUGAAAAUACUCAGAAACCAGGGCCUGAGUGUCUGGUCACACUCAAAUGACAGUCUUUGAGAAGGCCAACGUGCAGACCUACCACAGGGCAACCACAGAUGGCUCUCCCAUCUCUGCCAUACCACAGUGGUCAGCAGCUGGCUGGGCAGCCAUGUUCUCCAGGGAGGUGGUGGCCAGGCCCCUGGCUGGGGAGGCAGGAGCCCCAAGGAGGCGGGUCUUCCGCUCCAUUUGGCCACUCUGGGACAGCCUGCCACCCAGCCACUUUUGAUAAAUUUAGUUCUGUUUUCGAGAAAAGCAAAAAGAUGAAGGGAAUGAGAAAACGCUCUCACAGCUGAAGCCAGUUGGGCACCGGUGAGCAGACACACAGGUCCCUGCACACAGGGGUCAGCUGUGCAGAAAGGAUGGCUCGCUCUCUUAGACUGCUGUGUACACACAGUGGGGUGGGGUGGGUCAGCUGUUCAGAAAGGACAGCUCAUGCGCUUAGACUGCUGUAUACACGCAGGGCCUGGCUUUGAUUAGUCACCGAGACAAACUUUCCAAGUGGGUGGAACUCAUUGAGAUGGAAUUAUUGCUCUUUGUUUCUGAGACAUUGGAUCUCCAGGAGGGGCUAUUUUCUUGCUUUACAUUUUCCAGGUGAGAAGCCAGGUGGAAAGUGGCAAAACAAUUAUGGGAGCCCAAGACGGAAUA